GAUGAACGCUGGCGGCGUGCCUAAUACAUGCAAGUCGAGCGAACGGACGAGAAGCUUGCUUCUCUGAUGUUAGCGGCGGACGGGUGAGUAACACGUGGAUAACCUACCUAUAAGACUGGGAUAACUUCGGGAAACCGGAGCCAAUACCGGAUAAUAUUUUGAACCGCAUGGUUCAAAAGUGAAAGACGGUCUUGCUGUCACUUAUAGAUGGAUCCGCGCUGCAUUAGCUAGUUGGUAAGGUAACGGCUUACCAAGGCAACGAUGCAUAGCCGACCUGAGAGGGUGAUCGGCCACACUGGAACUGAGACACGGUCCAGACUCCUACGGGAGGCAGCAGUAGGGAAUCUUCCGCAAUGGGCGAAAGCCUGACGGAGCAACGCCGCGUGAGUGAUGAAGGUCUUCGGAUCGUAAAACUCUGUUAUUAGGGAAGAACAUAUGUGUAAGUAACUGUGCACAUCUCGACGGUACCUAAUCAGAAAGCCACGGCUAACUACGUG
This 497-nucleotide ribosomal RNA is filed under the name uncultured bacterium. RNAcentral's name for it is "partial 16S ribosomal RNA". It matches the Rfam family "Bacterial small subunit ribosomal RNA", at positions 28 to 507 of the family's 1533-position model. The record is from RNAcentral.